UAAUAAAUAACCCUCAUCAUCAUCACAGAGAUCCCAGUUCCUGCUGGAGUCAGAACAUUUCCAUAGAGCCACUUUGCAUCAGCAGCUCCAUGCUCCAGUGAUCUGGGAGAGUUUAUAGUCCUGAGAGUUGAACACUGGAUGACUGACAGCUGUCCUUCAUCACAACAGAAGACACAGAAAUCCUCCUCAUCAAAAACAUGACUUUGAUCUACGUCCUCAUCUGGACUCUCCUCUGCUUCACUCAGGGUUCAUCAGGAGACAUCAUCCUAACUCAGACUCCUGGAUCACAGUCUGUUGUUCCAGGUCAGACUGUCUCCAUCAGAUGUGAAACCAAUUCUAAUGUUAAUAGCUACCUCCACUGGUACCUUCAGAAACCUGCAGGAGCUCCUAAACUCCUGAUUUAUUCAGCUUCAAACCGUCAGUCUGGAAUUCCAGCUCGUUUCAGUGGAAGUGGAUAUGGUGCUGACUUCACUCUGACCAUCAGUGGAGUUCAGGCUGAAGACUCAGGAGUUUAUUACUGUCAGCAGGGUAGCAGCUACCCGUUCACACAGUGAUAGAACGUCGUACAAAAACCUCCUCAGCUGGAGAGGAACUGAUCUGACUCAACAGCUGUUCUUAAACUAAACACUAAACUUUUCUUCAAAUGUUCAACUCUUCAUUAGUUAUGAAAAACUGGUUCUUAUGUACUUUUUGUUUUUAUACCCAUAGUUUGUUUGCUUGUUUUAAAUGUUCUAAGUAAAUCAGUUAGAGAUUUAUGUGUUCGGGUA
Girardinichthys multiradiatus is the source of this 767-nucleotide non-coding RNA. The record is from the annotation of a RefSeq genome assembly. Lineage: Eukaryota; Metazoa; Chordata; Actinopteri; Cyprinodontiformes; Goodeidae.